UACAGGGGGUGCAAACGUUGCUCGGAAUUAUUGGGCGUAAAGCGCGCGUAGGCGGCUACCUAAGUCGGAUGUGAAAGCCCCUGGCUUAACUGGGGAAGUGCACCCGAAACUGGGUAGCUAGAGUGCAAAAGAGGGUCGCGGAAUUCCCAGUGUAGAGGUGAAAUUCGUAGAUAUCAGGAGGAACACCAAUAGCGAAGGCAGCUCGCUGGGACGGUACUGACGCUAAGGUGCGAAAGCGUGGGGAGCGAACAGG
Molecule: ribosomal RNA, 253 nt
Filed under: uncultured bacterium
Lineage: Bacteria
Description: partial 16S ribosomal RNA
Rfam family: Bacterial small subunit ribosomal RNA
Source: RNAcentral